AUGAACGCUGGCGGCGUGCCUAAUACAUGCAAGUCGAGCGAACAGACGAGGAGCUUGCUCCUUCGACGUUAGCGGCGGACGGGUGAGUAACACGUAGGUAACCUACCUAUAAGACUGGGAUAACUUCGGGAAACCGGAGCUAAUACCGGAUAAUAUUUCGAACCGCAUGGUUCGAUAGUGAAAGAUGGCUUUGCUAUCACUUAUAGAUGGACCUGCGCCGUAUUAGCUAGUUGGUAAGGUAACGGCUUACCAAGGCAACGAUACGUAGCCGACCUGAGAGGGUGAUCAGCCACCCUGGAUCUGACACACGGUCCAGACUCCUACGGGAGGCAGCAGUAGGGAAUUUUCCGCAAUGGGCGAAAGCCUGACGGAGCAACGCCGCGUGAGUGAUGAAGGUCUUCGGAGCGUAAAACUCUGUUAUUAGGGAAGAACAAACGUGUAAGUAACUGUGCACGUCUUGACGGUACCUAAUCAGAAAGCAACGGCUAACUACGU
RNAcentral lists this ribosomal RNA (495 nucleotides) under uncultured bacterium. RNAcentral's name for it is "partial 16S ribosomal RNA". It matches the Rfam family "Bacterial small subunit ribosomal RNA", at positions 29 to 506 of the family's 1533-position model. The record is from RNAcentral.